GGAUUGUGGCUCAGCGGUAGAGCACUCGCCUAGCACUUGCGAGGCACUGGGUUCGAUCCUCAGCACCA
Molecule: transfer RNA, 68 nt
Filed under: Marmota monax (woodchuck)
Lineage: Eukaryota; Metazoa; Chordata; Mammalia; Rodentia; Sciuridae
Description: tRNA.Ala
Source: RNAcentral